UGAGGCCCCGGGUUCGAUCCCCGGCA
This 26-nucleotide non-coding RNA is filed under the name Callithrix jacchus (white-tufted-ear marmoset). Lineage: Eukaryota; Metazoa; Chordata; Mammalia; Primates; Cebidae. RNAcentral also lists the same sequence under 3 other names. The record is from RNAcentral.